GAUGAACGCUGGCGGCGUGCCUAAUACAUGCAAGUCGAACGGGGAGUAGCAAUACUCUUAGUGGCGAACGGGUGAGUAACGCGUUGGUACCUGCCCCGAAGCGGGGGAUAACGGACCGAAAGGUCCGCUAAUACCCCAUGUGCUCGGUAACGAGUCAAGGGGAGAACCCCGUUGGGAGGGGCCUGCGUCCCAUCGGCUAGUUGGUAAGGUAACGGCUGACCAAGGCGAUGACGGGUAGGGGACCUGAGAGGGGGGCCCCCCACAAUGGAACUGAAACCCGGUCCAUACCCCUACGGAUGGCAGCAGUAGGGAAUACUGGUAACGGGCGCAAGACGGAACCAGCAACGGCGCGUGUGCGAUGCCGGCCGUCGGGUUGCAAAGCACUUUUGACUGGGACGAGGAAGGACGGUACUGGUCGAAUCAGCCUCGGCUAACUACGUG
This 441-nucleotide ribosomal RNA is filed under the name uncultured bacterium. Its description in RNAcentral is "partial 16S ribosomal RNA". It matches the Rfam family "Bacterial small subunit ribosomal RNA", at positions 28 to 507 of the family's 1533-position model. The record is from RNAcentral.